RNAcentral lists this unclassified non-coding RNA (217 nucleotides) under uncultured Xerocomus. RNAcentral's name for it is "sequence contains ITS2". The record is from RNAcentral. Lineage: Eukaryota; Fungi; Basidiomycota; Agaricomycetes; Boletales; Boletaceae.
AAUUCUCAACCAUGUCUUGAUUGACAUGGCUUGGAGUUGGGGGUUGCUGGUAGCGAAAGCUCGUCAGCUCUCCUGAAAUGCAUUAGCGGGUGGACAAGCAAAGCCUUCCGACGUGAUAACGAUCGUCGUGGGGCCACGCAUCGAUGUCUAUCUGCUUCCGAAUCCCCAGAUACCUUAGCUACUAGUCGAAAGACGAACGCAAGGGAUCGUUUCGAAC